UGAGAAGAAGAAGAAGAACC
This 20-nucleotide microRNA is filed under the name Corchorus olitorius. RNAcentral describes it as "ath-miR50". The record is from RNAcentral. Lineage: Eukaryota; Viridiplantae; Streptophyta; Magnoliopsida; Malvales; Malvaceae.